RNAcentral lists this ribosomal RNA (253 nucleotides) under uncultured bacterium. RNAcentral describes it as "partial 16S ribosomal RNA". It matches the Rfam family "Bacterial small subunit ribosomal RNA", at positions 524 to 776 of the family's 1533-position model. The record is from RNAcentral.
UACGGAGGGAGCUAGCGUUGUUCGGAAUUACUGGGCGUAAAGCGCACGUAGGCGGCUUUGUAAGUUAGAGGUGAAAGCCUGGGGCUCAACUCCAGAACUGCCUUUAAAACUGCAUCGCUUGAAUCCAGGAGAGGUGAGUGGAAUUCCGAGUGUAGAGGUGAAAUUCGUAGAUAUUCGGAAGAACACCAGUGGCGAAGGCGGCUCACUGGACUGGUAUUGACGCUGAGGAGCGAAAGCGUGGGGAGCGAACAGG